Molecule: long non-coding RNA, 1811 nt
Organism: Dreissena polymorpha
Lineage: Eukaryota; Metazoa; Mollusca; Bivalvia; Myida; Dreissenidae
Exons: 2
Source: RefSeq, a predicted model, not a curated record
CAAGCAUGAACAUAUUUACUGGUAUGUGACUGCUUAUUAACUCUGUAAUGUAGAUUCUGGAACCAAUCUCUACAAUAAUGACGCCUGACGUGAGGUAUGCAAGAGGAAUCUUGGCCAUGCCCCCAUCCCCCCAGUCACCUAUUGCCACCUACAGACAAUGCACACCAGUUGCUCUCACUGCAUGAACCCUAGUUGGGGUAGCACCAACUAGACUGGUGGCAGUAAAGUAAUGACAAGUCUAAGGUCCCACCUGUCUUGUGUGAUAUGCCUAGGGAGAAGAUGUGAGCAUGUCAACAAGUUGUGUCUGUUGGGCUUGUAUUGUGUUGUAUAAAAAGCAGUUUGUUUCCUUAAACUUGAUUUUGUGUACUGACCUUACCAUUAACAUUUUUCUGGUAUUCCACAUUGAGUUUUUUUUAUCAUUUUUGCAUAAUUCAUUCAUGUUCACUUACUUAACUAUUAAGUUUGCGGAAUUUUUGCUACAUUUGAUCAUGUUUGCUAACUGAACUUUGAAAUGCAAUUUUAUUGUAAUGAAAAUUGUAUUCUUUUCAUGACUCAAGGUGUCGUAAUUCAGCAUGAUGGCUUUAUUAAUUGUUGCAUUUCAAAGUCUUCCAUUAGGUGUGAUACAACAUUGUGACUAAACAUAUUAUAAUAUCUUUUCGUGACCAGUAAAAUUACUUUCCAACUUAAAGAGAAAUGAACAUUUGUAAGAUUAAAAUAUUGUAAAUAUAUAUGUAUGUAUAUGUUUCCAUGGCUUUCAAAAAAUACACUUCUUUAUGACCGUGAAUCUAGACAAAGCAAUUGACAUUCAUUCAGUCAUUCAUAAAGAAGUAAUCUUGCUGCAAGAUGUUACGCUAUGAGUAAUUGCAUUUAAAAUAUAAUGGAAUGGCCCGCUCAAUCUUACAAGAUAUCAAAAAGCAUGUGACACACAUGUCCAACACUAAUUAUAUCUAAUAUAAUGAAAGCUGUGACCAUGUAUAUUGAUCUAUAAAACACUACUUCAGAAGGAACACAUAAUUUUUAAAAGCUUCUUGGCAGAUUUAACCAGCAGAUAAUGGGGUGUAUCUAAAAAUGAAAGCUACCAUAAAAUUAAGGUCAGACAUGACAUUGACCCCAGACUCCUGAAACCUUAUUAGCAUACAUUACAUGCCAGAAUAGUUUCCUGCAUGUUUUAGUCUGCUUUAUUUAUGCACACAUGUCACAAGUUCAAUUAUACUGAAACAGUAUUUUAUUCCGAUACUCGAAUUAUACAGUAACAGAAUUUUAAUUGGAAAUAUUAUUGGUUUGACUCUGUUUCCUGUAUAGAGACUUAUAUAUUUAUCGUAACGCUAUUGUUCACAAUUAUUUUCAUGCAUUCACAGUGAGUGCCAGCUUAAUCAUUUCGAGCUAUCCAACAUAUUUUCUGUUGGUCUUUCAUGCCUCAUACAACAGAAGCUGAAAAACAAUUAAACCUUUGCAUGCUGGGAAAAUUGUCAUCUGCUAAAAUGUUGUCUGCUGAAUUUCUAAAAUAAGCAUUUUCUUCGAUUUUUUUCAAAGAAUUCCAUCAGAAAAGCAAACAGUUUGGAUCCUGAUGAGACGCCACGUUCUGUGUCGUGUCAUCUGGAUCCAAACUGUUUGCAAAGGCCUUCAAAAUUCGGUUCCAGCACUGAAAGGGUUAAUGUCGAAAUUGAUGUCUUGAACUAUUGAGUCCUUCAAUGUUGAUAGAUUAAAAAUUUAUUAUAGUGCAUAUUUAUGGACAAUUUAGUAAUUAUUCAAUUCAAAAUGUUAUCAAUCUGGUGUUCAGUUUCUGUGCUUGUAAUAAACAUGAACAACAA